GUUAGGACUACAGCACGUUUUCUUCAAAUAGAGUAGGGCUGCUUUUUUCUCUUUUAUGCAUACAUUAACUUCCUGGUAAAUUUUUUAUUUGAAUUAUGAUAAUAGCACACACCUACAUAAUACUUAACUUUAUGCCAGCUGUUGUUUUCAACACCUCAUAUUAUCUCAUUUAAUUCUCAAAACAACCUUUGAGGUAGAUGUUCGUAUCUUCAUUUUACAUAAGUUAAAGCACAGAGAGGUUAAGUAACUUGUUCACGAUUCCACAACUAGGAAGUGGUAAAACUGGAAUUUGAGCUCAGACAGUGAUUUUAACUACUAUAGUAUAUUGUCUCUAACUGAAGAAAAGAAUGCCUUGGCUUUUGGUAAGUUUGAAAACCAUUGAUAUUUAAUAUUGGAAAUUUGGGGCACAAACUUGUGCAAAGAUUCGGUAAUGUCAGAAAGGUGUCAGCUUGAGAUUGUAGUUUUGAUUUUUUCAACAUUUCUGUAUUUUUAAUUGUUUCAGCAUUUCAAUUACUUUUUAGUAACUCACCCUGUAAUUUUCAAGCACUUCCUCGCCAUCGGGUGGUAGAAGACAGUUGUAAAUCAUGUGAUUCAUAAAGCUUGAGGCAUACACCAAAAUGUCUUUUUAAAUUUCAAAUUUAUUUUAGGUACAGGGGAUACAUGUGCAGGUUUGUUACAAGGAAAUAUUGCAUGAUGCUGAGGUCUGGAGUAUGGAUCCCAUUACCCAGGUGCUGUAAGGAAACUGCCUACGGCUCCUUUCCCAGGAUAAUAAGAAGUGCCUUUUGCCUCCGCCAUGAUUCUGACCCCCUCCCCGCCCAGCCAUGGGGAACUUGUAUCUCCAGGACCUGGUAUACUUGUUAUGCGUUCUGGAUCCCUACAUGGUAUUUAAGUCAGAGCAAGAGAACAAGGGCUGUGGAAAACAAGUGGACUUCAGAUUUGGCCUAA
RNAcentral lists this long non-coding RNA (945 nucleotides) under Callithrix jacchus (white-tufted-ear marmoset). RNAcentral describes it as "lncRNA (ENSCJAG00000085772.1)". The record is from RNAcentral. Lineage: Eukaryota; Metazoa; Chordata; Mammalia; Primates; Cebidae.